CUGAAGCUAGUGAAAGAGAGA
This 21-nucleotide microRNA is filed under the name Brassica rapa (field mustard). Its description in RNAcentral is "bra-miR9565-3p". Lineage: Eukaryota; Viridiplantae; Streptophyta; Magnoliopsida; Brassicales; Brassicaceae. The record is from miRBase by way of RNAcentral.